UACGGAAGGUGCAAGCGUUGUCCGGAUUGACUGGGUGUAAAGGGCGCGUAGGCGGAGAAGUGUGUCGGGAGUGAAAUCGUGCGGCUUAACCGUAUCAAUUGCUUUCGAAACUACUUCCCUUGAGUACAAGAGGGGCAGACGGAAUUCCUGGUGUAGCGGUGGAAUGCGUAGAUAUCAGGAAGAACACCGGAGGCGAAGGCGGUCUGCUGGCUUGUAACUGACGCUGAGGCGCGAAAGUGCGGGGAGCAAACAGG
This 254-nucleotide ribosomal RNA is filed under the name uncultured bacterium. RNAcentral's name for it is "partial 16S ribosomal RNA". It matches the Rfam family "Bacterial small subunit ribosomal RNA", at positions 524 to 776 of the family's 1533-position model. The record is from RNAcentral.